Molecule: long non-coding RNA, 657 nt
Filed under: Gossypium barbadense (sea-island cotton)
Lineage: Eukaryota; Viridiplantae; Streptophyta; Magnoliopsida; Malvales; Malvaceae
Description: long non-coding RNA (GBAR_LNC012138)
Source: RNAcentral
CUCACAAACUCUGAAAUUAUGGUUCAUUGUUUUUAAAGUUGUUUGAUAUUGUAAAGCCCAAAAUCUGCCCGGGCCCAUACCAGCAAACCCCCCACUUGCCCACUUGCGCCGUUGCCCCAUGUGCGCAACCACUCAACCUCGCACGCCUCUGCUCCGCGCCAGCCUCCACGCAUGCCCAUCACCGUCUGCACCCCAUGCCUCUGUCACCUCCAUCGUGCCCAUCCCAUGCAAAGAGACAAAACAGAAACAAUAGGAAAUUAGAUGAAAAUGGGUUAUAAAAACCCGAAUCAAAAAUUGUACGGGAGGAUUUUUUGAUUUUUUGGGGAUUUUUUCCUUUCAUUUUCGAUUGUAACAUUACUUAAAAAUACGAGAGUAAAAGCAGAUUCAAGCAAGAAAAACACCCGAAAACAAAAAAGGCAGUCAGAUCUAAGGUUUCUUUUAUUUUUUAUUAUUCAAAAACUCAUCUAUCAUAUAUCUUUACAUAGCAUAAGUUUAUAAAAAAGCAGUCAACAAAAAAAAAAUUUACCUUUCCGGCCACCGCGUGCGGUGGCCGGCGCCGGCGCCGGCGAGCCUCCGGUGGCCGUCCGGUGACCCCCCCUUGGCCGGAAAUCGCUCCGUGCCCUCCCUCUCCCUCUUUCUUUCUUUUUUUUUCCCUCA